UAGGGAAUCUUCGGCAAUGGACGAAAGUCUGACCGAGCAACGCCGCGUGAGUGAAGAAGGUUUUCGGAUCGUAAAACUCUGUUGUUAGAGAAGAACAAGGACGUUAGUAACUGAACGUCCCCUGACGGUAUCUAACCAGAAAGCCACGGCUAACUACGUGCCAGCAGCCGCGGUAAUACGUAGGUGGCAAGCGUUGUCCGGAUUUAUUGGGCGUAAAGCGAGCGCAGGCGGUUUCUUAAGUCUGAUGUGAAAGCCCCCGGCUCAACCGGGGAGGGUCAUUGGAAACUGGGAGACUUGAGUGCAGAAGAGGAGAGUGGAAUUCCAUGUGUAGCGGUGAAAUGCGUAGAUAUAUGGAGGAACACCAGUGGCGAAGGCGGCUCUCUGGUCUGUAACGGACGCUGAGGCUCGAAAGCGGGGGGAGCAAACAGG
Molecule: ribosomal RNA, 429 nt
Filed under: Gemmatimonadota bacterium
Lineage: Bacteria; Pseudomonadati; Gemmatimonadota
Description: Gemmatimonadetes bacterium partial 16S ribosomal RNA
Rfam family: Bacterial small subunit ribosomal RNA
Source: RNAcentral